Molecule: ribosomal RNA, 492 nt
Filed under: uncultured bacterium
Lineage: Bacteria
Description: partial 16S ribosomal RNA
Rfam family: Bacterial small subunit ribosomal RNA
Source: RNAcentral
AGUGAACGCUGGCGGUAGGCCUAACACAUGCAAGUCGAACGGCAGCACAGUAAGAGCUUGCUCUUACGGGUGGCGAGUGGCGGACGGGUGAGGAAUACAUCGGAAUCUACUUUUUCGUGGGGGAUAACGUAGGGAAACUUACGCUAAUACCGCAUACGACCUACGGGCGAAAGCAGGGGAUCUUCGGACCUUGCGCGAUUGAAUGAGCCGAUGUCGGAUUAGCUAGUUGGCGGGGUAAAGGCCCACCAAGGCGACGAUCCGUAGCUGGUCUGAGAGGAUGAUCAGCCACACUGGAACUGAGACACGGUCCAGACUCCUACGGGAGGCAGCAGUGGGGAAUAUUGGACAAUGGGCGCAAGCCUGAUCCAGCCAUACCGCGUGGGUGAAGAAGGACUUCGGGUUGUAAAGCCCUUUUGUUGGGAAAGAAAAGCAGCAGGUUAAUACCCCGCUGUUCUGACGGUACCCAAAGAAUAAGCACCGGCUAACUUCGUG